RNAcentral lists this unclassified non-coding RNA (139 nucleotides) under soil metagenome. Its description in RNAcentral is "partial internal transcribed spacer 1". The record is from RNAcentral.
CCUAGAGUUGUAGGCUUUGCCUGCUAUCUCUUACCCAUGUCUUUUGAGUACCUUACGUUUCCUCGGCGGGUCCGCCCGCCGAUUGGACAAUUUAAACCAUUUGCAGUUGCAAUCAGCGUCUGAAAAACUUUAAUAGUUA